This 253-nucleotide ribosomal RNA is filed under the name uncultured bacterium. Its description in RNAcentral is "partial 16S ribosomal RNA". It matches the Rfam family "Bacterial small subunit ribosomal RNA", at positions 524 to 776 of the family's 1533-position model. The record is from RNAcentral.
UACGUAGGGCGCAAGCGUUAUCCGGAAUUAUUGGGCGUAAAGAGCUCGUAGGCGGUUUGUCGCGUCUGCCGUGAAAGUCCGGGGCUCAACUCCGGAUCUGCGGUGGGUACGGGCAGACUAGAGUGAUGUAGGGGAGACUGGAAUUCCUGGUGUAGCGGUGAAAUGCGCAUAUAUCAGGAGGAACACCGAUGGCGAAGGCAGGUCUCUGGGCAGUAACUGACGCUGAGGAGCGAAAGCAUGGGGAGCGAACAGG